GGCGCGCUCGUGAUGAUUUACAUUUAUAAGCAUAGUUCAUCUGAACCUCUAUGAAGACACCUAUGUAUUCUCUAGUCUUUCGCUCCCAUCUGAUGCGCCCU
Molecule: small nucleolar RNA, 101 nt
Filed under: Thermothelomyces thermophilus ATCC 42464
Lineage: Eukaryota; Fungi; Ascomycota; Sordariomycetes; Sordariales; Chaetomiaceae
Description: Myceliophthora thermophila ATCC 42464 Small nucleolar RNA snR60/Z15/Z230/Z193/J17
Rfam family: Small nucleolar RNA snR60/Z15/Z230/Z193/J17
About the family: The members of this family belong to the C/D class of snoRNAs which contain the C (UGAUGA) and D (CUGA) box motifs. Most of the members of the box C/D family function in directing site-specific 2'-O-methylation of substrate RNAs.
Source: Rfam by way of RNAcentral